AUUUAAGUAGCUUAAUUAAAGAGUGUAAUAUUGAAGAUAUUAAGGUAAAUUUUGUUUUUCUUGAAUA
Molecule: transfer RNA, 67 nt
Filed under: Pseudoneureclipsis sibuyana
Lineage: Eukaryota; Metazoa; Arthropoda; Insecta; Trichoptera; Polycentropodidae
Description: tRNA-Phe
Source: RNAcentral